UACGGUAAGACGUGGUGGAGGCCCGAACCCACCAGGGUUGAAAACCUGGGGGAUGACCUGUGGUUAGGGGUGAAAGGCCAAUCAAACUCCGUGAUAGCUGGUUCUCCCCGAAAUGCAUUUAGGUGCAGCGUCGUGUGUUUCUUGCCGGAGGUAGAGCACUGGAUAGGCGAUGGGCCCUACCGGGUUACUGACCUUAGCCAAACUCCGAAUGCCGGUAAGUGAGAGCGCGGCAGUGAGACUGUGGGGGAUAAGCUCCAUGGUCGAGAGGGAAACAGCCCAGAGCAUCGACUAAGGCCCCUAAGCGUACGCUAAGUGGGAAAGGAUGUGGAGUCGCAGAGACAACCAGGAGGUUGGCUUAGAAGCAGCCACCCUUGAAAGAGUGCGUAAUAGCUCACUGGUCAAGUGAUUCCGCGCCGACAAUGUAGCGGGGCUCAAGCGUACCGCCGAAGUCGUGUCAUUCCAGCAUGUACCCCCAACGGGGGCUGGGAUGGGUAGGGGAGCGUCGUGUGCCGGGUGAAGCAGCCGCGGAAGCGAGUUGUGGACGGUUCACGAGUGAGAAUGCAGGCAUGAGUAGCGAUACACACGUGAGAAACGUGUGCGCCGAUUGACUAAGGGUUCCUGGGUCAAGCUGAUCUGCCCAGGGUAAGUCGGGACCUAAGGCGAGGCCGACAGGCGUAGUCGAUGGACAACGGGUUGAUAUUCCCGUACCGGCGAAGAACCGCCCAUAUCGAACCCGGUGAUGCUAAGCGCCUGAAGCUGCGACGGUCUUCGUACCGUUGUAGUGGAGCGCGUGAACCGAUCCGGUAGUAGAUAAGCGAUGGGGUGACGCAGGAAGGUAGCUUCCGCGUGGCGAUGGUUGUCCACGUCUAAGAGUGUAGGGCGAGGUGUAGGAAAAUCCGCAUCUCAUAUAGCCUGAGACUCGACAGUGACCGCUUAUGCGGGAAGAGAGUGAUCCUAUGCUGCCAAGAAAAGCCUCUAGCGAGGUUCGAGCCGCCCGUACCCUAAACCGACUCAGGUGGUCAGGUAGAGAAUACCAAGGAGAUCGAGAGAAUCGUGGUUAAGGAACUCGGCAAAAUGCCCCCGUAACUUCGGGAGAAGGGGGGCCUGAAGCGUGAACCGACUUGCUCGGGGAGCGUGAAGGGCCGCAGAGACCAGGGAGAAGCGACUGUUUACUAAAAACACAGGUCCGUGCGAAGUCGCAAGACGAUGUAUACGGACUGACGCCUGCCCGGUGCUGGAACGUUAAGAGGACCUGUUAGCCGACUCGUCGGCGAAGCGGAGAAUUUAAGCGCCAGUAAACGGCGGUGGUAACUAUAACCAUCCUAAGGUAGCGAAAUUCCUUGUCGGGUAAGUUCCGACCUGCACGAAUGGCGUAACGACUUCCCAACUGUCUCAACCGCGAACUCGGCGAAAUUGCAUUGCGAGUAAAGAUGCUCGUUACGCGCAGCAGGACGGAAAGACCCCGGGACCUUUACUAUAGUUUGGUAUUGGUGUUUGGUUCGAUUUGUGUAGGAUAGGUGGGAGACUG
RNAcentral lists this ribosomal RNA (1528 nucleotides) under Nothrus palustris. Its description in RNAcentral is "bacterial LSU rRNA". It matches the Rfam family "Bacterial large subunit ribosomal RNA", at positions 752 to 2157 of the family's 2925-position model. Lineage: Eukaryota; Metazoa; Arthropoda; Arachnida; Sarcoptiformes; Nothridae. The record is from RNAcentral.